RNAcentral lists this ribosomal RNA (253 nucleotides) under uncultured bacterium. RNAcentral describes it as "partial 16S ribosomal RNA". It matches the Rfam family "Bacterial small subunit ribosomal RNA", at positions 524 to 776 of the family's 1533-position model. The record is from RNAcentral.
UACGUAGGGGGCUAGCGUUGUCCGGAAUCAUUGGGCGUAAAGAGCGUGUAGGCGGUCCGGUAAGUCCGCUGUGAAAGUCGGGGGCUCAACCCUCGAAUGCCGGUGGAUACUGUCGGGCUAGAGUGCGGAAGAGGCGAGUGGAAUUCCUGGUGUAGCGGUGAAAUGCGUAGAUAUCGUAAGGAAGACCAGUGGCGAAGGCGGGUCUCUGGACAGUUCCUGACGCUGAGGCACGAAGGUCAGGGGAGCAAACGGG